RNAcentral lists this ribosomal RNA (566 nucleotides) under Russula sp. Its description in RNAcentral is "partial small subunit ribosomal RNA". It matches the Rfam family "Bacterial small subunit ribosomal RNA", at positions 359 to 952 of the family's 1533-position model. Lineage: Eukaryota; Fungi; Basidiomycota; Agaricomycetes; Russulales; Russulaceae. The record is from RNAcentral.
AAAUAUUAGUCAAUGCUCGAAAGAGUGAACUAGCUAACUGAAAUCAAUUAUAAAAUUGAUAACAUAAGGGAAAAUAAUGAUAUUACCUUAUUAUUAGUGUCGUCCAAAACUCGGUGCCAGAAGACUCGGUAAGGCCAGAGACAUAAACGUUAAUCGUCUUAAUCAGGCGUAAAGGGUUUGUAGGCGGCUUUUAAUUUUACUUAUUUAAUUUUGUUUUUUGUUAAUUAAAAAUUAUAAGUACAGAAUAAAAGCUAGAAUCAAAUAGAGGAUAUAUCAAAUAAUGCUUAGAGUAGGUCUGAUAUCCUUAGAUACUAAGUAGAAUAUUAAAGGCGAAGGCUUUUUUCCAUUAAUGAUUGACGCUCAGAAACGAAGGUGAGGAUAGGAAAUAGGAUUAGAUACCCAAAAUACCCCUCUCUGUCAACGAUGAAUGGUAGUUAUUAGUAAUAAAUUAAUUAAUGACAAUGUUAACACGAUAACCAUUCCGCCUUGUGAGUACAACUGCAAAGUUGAAAACAAAAAAAUUAGUCGGUUUCGGAGCAAACGAAGUGAAGCAUGUUAUUUAAUUC